GAUGAACGCUGGCGGCGUGCCUAAUACAUGCAAGUCGAGCGAACGGACGAGAAGCUUGCUUCUCUGAUGUUAGCGGCGGACGGGUGAGUAACACGUGGAUAACCUACCUAUAAGACUGGGAUAACUUCGGGAAACCGGAGCUAAUACCGGAUGAUAUUUUGAACCGCAUGGUUCAAAAGUGAAAGACGGUCUUGCUGUCACUUAUAGAUGGAUCCGCGCUGCAUUAGCUAGUUGGUAAGGUAACGGCUUACCAAGGCAACGAUGCAUAGCCGACCUGAGAGGGUGAUCGGCCACACUGGAGCUGAGACACGGUCCAGACUCCUACGGGAGGCAGCAGUAGGGAAUCUUCCGCAAUGGGCGAAAGCCUGACGGAGCAACGCCGCGUGAGUGAUGAAGGUCUUCGGAUCGUAAAACUCUGUUAUUAGGGAAGAACAUAUGUGUAAGUAACUGUGCACAUCUUGACGGUACCUAAACAGAAAGCCACGGCUAACUACGUG
This 497-nucleotide ribosomal RNA is filed under the name uncultured bacterium. RNAcentral's name for it is "partial 16S ribosomal RNA". It matches the Rfam family "Bacterial small subunit ribosomal RNA", at positions 28 to 507 of the family's 1533-position model. The record is from RNAcentral.